GCUAAGUAGGUGAACCUGCGGAGGGCUCAUUACACAAAUAUGAAGGCGGGCUGGAACCUCUCGGGGUUACAGACUUGCUGAAUUAUUCACCCUUGUCUUUUGCGUACUUCUUGUUUCCUUGGUGGGUUCGCCCACCACUAGGACAAACAUAAACCUUUUGUAAUUGCAAUCAGCGUCAGUAACAAAAUAAUCAUUACAACUUUCAACAACGGAUCUCUUGGUUCUGGCAUCGAUGAAGAACGCAGC
This 246-nucleotide unclassified non-coding RNA is filed under the name uncultured fungus. Its description in RNAcentral is "sequence contains ITS1, 5.8S rRNA gene". The stretch from base 198 to 246 matches the Rfam family "5.8S ribosomal RNA", at positions 1 to 49 of the family's 154-position model. The record is from RNAcentral. Lineage: Eukaryota; Fungi.